RNAcentral lists this non-coding RNA (213 nucleotides) under Paenisporosarcina sp. RNAcentral describes it as "T-box sequence". It matches the Rfam family "T-box leader". Rfam says of the family: Uncharged tRNA acts as the effector for transcription antitermination of genes in the T-box leader family. T-boxes are found upstream of many aminoacyl-tRNA synthetase genes and some amino acid biosynthetic genes usually in Gram-positive bacteria. The record is from RNAcentral. Lineage: Bacteria; Bacillati; Bacillota; Bacilli; Caryophanales; Caryophanaceae.
GAAAAAUCGAUGACAAAGAAUAGUAGCACAAGUGCGUCUUCAUAGAGAGUCAGCGGCUGGUGGAAGCUGAUAGGCAACUUGGUGUGAAUGGUCUUUGGAGAGUUUCCCAGAAUGUCAGUACGGGAAAACGUGUGAUCUACGUUACAGGUCCUAAAGCGAAAGCCGUUAUUGGCUUUUAAUUUGAGGUGGCACCACGGUCAUUCCGUCCUCUGU